This 77-nucleotide transfer RNA is filed under the name Solidesulfovibrio fructosivorans. It matches the Rfam family "tRNA". Rfam says of the family: Transfer RNA (tRNA) molecules are approximately 80 nucleotides in length. Their secondary structure includes four short double-helical elements and three loops (D, anti-codon, and T loops). Further hydrogen bonds mediate the characteristic L-shaped molecular structure. tRNAs have two regions of fundamental functional importance: the anti-codon, which is responsible for specific mRNA codon recognition, and the 3' end, to which the tRNAs corresponding amino acid is attached (by aminoacyl-tRNA synthetases). tRNAs cope with the degeneracy of the genetic code in two manners: having more than one tRNA (with a specific anti-codon) for a particular amino acid; and 'wobble' base-pairing, i.e. permitting non-standard base-pairing at the 3rd anti-codon position. Lineage: Bacteria; Pseudomonadati; Thermodesulfobacteriota; Desulfovibrionia; Desulfovibrionales; Desulfovibrionaceae. The record is from RNAcentral. RNAcentral also lists the same sequence under 3 other names.
GCUCCCGUAGCUCAGUUGGAUAGAGCGAUCGCCUCCUAAGCGAUAGGCCAUGCGUUCGAAUCGCAUCGGGAGCACCA